RNAcentral lists this long non-coding RNA (448 nucleotides) under Homo sapiens (human). RNAcentral's name for it is "TTC36 and KMT2A antisense RNA 1". Lineage: Eukaryota; Metazoa; Chordata; Mammalia; Primates; Hominidae. The record is from RNAcentral.
GCGGAUCACCGUGGUUCUUGCGGCUCCCGGGCGUGGCCAUUUACAACCCGCCUCGCACCUGCUAGAGAAAAGACCCCGGCCAUGGAUGGGAGACCUAGGACAAAGAUGGAAAAGAGGUCAGACACAAAUUUUGCAAUGCUUGGCACCAGACAGCUGCUCAAUGAGGAACACAACUGCAUCAUGGAGAAUCCCCAGCAUCCUCAAACCGUUAACACCUAGAAGAAUCAGAAGCACCAGGGAAGUGAGGAGCGCAGUCAACAGGAAACAGCAUGGUCCUACAGAAAUGCCUAUGCUAUAGUCACUCUGCCAGAGGCUGCUCCAGGGUGAAUUAUAGUACAUAUUAGCUCGAAAUUAGCAUCAGAUAGCCAUUAAAAUGAUGCUGAUACAGAUCUAUCAAUAUGGAAAAUGUUUGUGAUAGACGGCUAAGUGAAAAAAGCAUGCCACCAAA